UGCUAGCGGGAGAGAGGCGGACAGAAGUCAAGGCGCUGCUGAGGAGCCCCGCGGACCAGAGAGCAGGAGGCAGCUCGACAGCAAGCAUGCUCGGCCGGGAACCAGAGUCGAAGGAGGGAAAAUGAAUGGGGAACGAGCGGUCCGAAGCAACAAGGGUGACGGGCGGACAGCGCUAAGCACAGCGACUUGAAGAGCUGCAAGACUGAGACGGGCAGAGCCGAAGGACCGCGGAGCGAGCGCUAGAGGCAGUGAACAAGUUGUAAAACCUGCUCAGUAAUCCAAAGCCCUCUUCCGAUGUGGCCAAGGAAGAUAGUGGCAAAGACAGAGCCCCCAGAGGGUGCAGCCCUAAUCACAGAGACCUUGAACUAGUGGGGCCUUCCCGGGGGAACAAAGUUGGACCUGAUGGAGGACAUUCCUCAUCCCCUAGGUACUCGCUGCCUCCACUGUCACUCUGGGCUGGGGAAGGGAUGACAGGAGGCCUCCGUUACAUGGCAGAGGGCCUAAAUGGGGAUGGAAAUGUUGGCCCCUGGAAAGAAAGGCCCAGGAUCUCCUCACA
Long non-coding RNA from Miniopterus natalensis, 556 nucleotides. RefSeq lists it as uncharacterized. Lineage: Eukaryota; Metazoa; Chordata; Mammalia; Chiroptera; Miniopteridae. The record is from RefSeq and is a predicted model, not a curated record.